Molecule: ribosomal RNA, 256 nt
Filed under: Klebsiella pneumoniae subsp. pneumoniae Ecl8
Lineage: Bacteria; Pseudomonadati; Pseudomonadota; Gammaproteobacteria; Enterobacterales; Enterobacteriaceae
Rfam family: Bacterial small subunit ribosomal RNA
Source: RNAcentral
ACUUAAAUUGAAGAGUUUGAUCAUGGCUCAGAUUGAACGCUGGCGGCAGGCCUAACACAUGCAAGUCGAGCGGUAGCACAGAGAGCUUGCUCUCGGGUGACGAGCGGCGGACGGGUGAGUAAUGUCUGGGAAACUGCCUGAUGGAGGGGGAUAACUACUGGAAACGGUAGCUAAUACCGCAUAAUGUCGCAAGACCAAAGUGGGGGACCUUCGGGCCUCGAUGCCAUCAGAUGUGCCCAGAUGGGAUUAGCUAGUA